UGGACAGCAUCAUUAAUGUGAAAUCAAAAGUAUUCAAUUGAUUAACGAGAAGCAAAGCUACAAGCAUUCCUUACCUAUAAGAAUAAUUUGCCCCAUGUCAAGAGAGAUUAGAUGAAGAGGUCUGGUUAUAACAGAAUAUAUCAGUCUGUUGAUAAAUUACAAUAUUCUAGGAAUAGAGACACAAAAUAUCAAAAUGCUGCAGACAAGUGACUAAUCAAGUUCCAUCAAAACGGUGCACUCCUAGAAGCCCUACAAAGGGGUCGGCUAUUGACAAAUCAUGUGCUUGUGCUUCAUCCACGUGGGCAAUCAGCCCAGAUCGUGC
RNAcentral lists this long non-coding RNA (322 nucleotides) under Setaria viridis. RNAcentral describes it as "long non-coding RNA (SVIR_LNC001202)". Lineage: Eukaryota; Viridiplantae; Streptophyta; Magnoliopsida; Poales; Poaceae. The record is from RNAcentral.